UCCCUGGUGCUCAGACGGUAAAGCGUCUGCCUGCAAUGCGGGAGACCCGGGUUCGAUUCCUGGGUUGGGAA
Molecule: transfer RNA, 71 nt
Filed under: Bos taurus (domestic cattle)
Lineage: Eukaryota; Metazoa; Chordata; Mammalia; Artiodactyla; Bovidae
Also listed under: 3 other names
Rfam family: tRNA
About the family: Transfer RNA (tRNA) molecules are approximately 80 nucleotides in length. Their secondary structure includes four short double-helical elements and three loops (D, anti-codon, and T loops).
Source: Rfam by way of RNAcentral